CAACCAGAUGCUCUGCAGGGUGCAGCUUUAUACGACUGCAGAGGUUGAACCCUGAACGGUUGGGGCAAGUAUGGACACAACAUUCAAGCUGGAUUCAGCUCUAAAUUUGGAUUGUGAUUAAAUAGUUGACACAGCAUAGGUUUUUGACACAGAAUGAAUGUGGUCUAAUGAACUUAAAAAAAUAUGUUUGCCUUUGAGCAAUUCACUAUGCUGUUGAAUAUUAAUCCUCUCAAAAAAAUGUUUGAAGAAAUUUUAUUUUUAUUUAUGAAAUCUGAAAUGAGAAAAAUUGCCCCCCCCCCCUUUUUUUUUUCACUUUCCCUUAUUCCAAAACUGAUCUCAAUUCAAAUUUCUAAUGGAGUUUGCAACAAUAACUACUCAUUUAAAUACAUCAUAAAAUAUUAAAAUGUAAAAAAAGUGCUUG
This 421-nucleotide long non-coding RNA is filed under the name Mytilus galloprovincialis (Mediterranean mussel). Lineage: Eukaryota; Metazoa; Mollusca; Bivalvia; Mytilida; Mytilidae. The record is from RNAcentral.